RNAcentral lists this unclassified non-coding RNA (303 nucleotides) under uncultured fungus. Its description in RNAcentral is "partial contains small subunit ribosomal RNA, internal transcribed spacer 1, and 5.8S ribosomal RNA". The stretch from base 1 to 73 matches the Rfam family "Eukaryotic small subunit ribosomal RNA", at positions 1759 to 1831 of the family's 1831-position model. Lineage: Eukaryota; Fungi. The record is from RNAcentral.
UCAAACUUGGUCAUUUAGAGGAAGUAAAAGUCGUAACAAGGUUUCCGUAGGUGAACCUGCGGAAGGAUCAUUACAGGGUUAUGCCAGGAUAGUGAAAAACCUAUCCAGGCAGCCAUGAUCAUCCCCUUUGUGCAUUAUAUUGAUAAACCGAGGGUUUCUUUUUUGCCAGACCUCAAAAAUCUGUCAUUAAUGCCCUCUAAUAAACUCUUUUUUUACAAUUUGACUGAGUGAUUUGUUAUUUUGUAAUAAAAUACAACUUUCAACAACGGAUCUCUUGGCUCUCGCAUCGAUGAAGAACGCAGC